GACGAACGCUGGCGGCGUGCCUAAUACAUGCAAGUAGAACGCACAGUUUAUACCGUAGCUUGCUACACCAUAGACUGUGAGUUGCGAACGGGUGAGUAACGCGUAGGUAACCUGCCUGGUAGCGGGGGAUAACUAUUGGAAACGAUAGCUAAUACCGCAUAAUAUUGAUUAUUGCAUGAUAAUUAAUUGAAAGGUGCAAUUGCACCACUACCAGAUGGACCUGCGUUGUAUUAGCUAGUAGGUGAGGUAACGGCUCACCUAGGCGACGAUACAUAGCCGACCUGAGAGGGUGAUCGGCCACACUGGGACUGAGACACGGCCCAGACUCCUACGGGAGGCAGCAGUAGGGAAUCUUCGGCAAUAGACGAAAGGCUGACCGAGCAACGCCGCGUGAGUGAAGAAGGGUUUCGGAUCGUAAAGCUCUGUUGUAAGAGAAGAACGGGUGUGAGAGUGGAAAGUUCACACUGUGACGGUAUCUUACCAGAAAGGGACGGCUAACUACGUG
Molecule: ribosomal RNA, 505 nt
Filed under: uncultured bacterium
Lineage: Bacteria
Description: partial 16S ribosomal RNA
Rfam family: Bacterial small subunit ribosomal RNA
Source: RNAcentral